UGGUCCUAGCCCUACAAUCAACUAUUACUUAACUUAUACAUGCAAGUAUCCGCACCCCCGUGAAAACGCCCUUAAAUUUCUUCUAGAAAUAAGGAGCCGGUAUCAGGCACAAUACAAGCCCAAAACACCUAGCUACGCCACAUCCCCACGGAAACUCAGCAGUAAUUAAUAUUGAAAAUAAGCGACAGCUUGAUUCAGUUAAAGUAAAAAGAGCCGGCAAAUCUGGUGCCAGCCGCCGCGGUUACACCAUGUGGCUCAAAUUGAUUUUUUUCGGCGUAAAGCGUGGUUAAAGUCACCAAAAUUAUAGUUAAACCACAACUAAGCCGUAAUACGCUUGUGUUUAAGAAGAUCAAAAACGAAAGUUACUAUAAUUAAACCAACUUGAACCCACGACAGUUAGGUCACAAACUGGGAUUAGAUACCCCACUAUGCCUCUCCGUAAACUUUAAAUCACAUCCAUAUCGCCUGGGAACUACGAGCAAAGCUUAAAACCCAAAGGACUUGACGGUACCCCACAUCCACCUAGAGGAGCCUGUCCUAUAAUCGAUGACCCCCGUUUAACCUCACCAUUUUUAGCCUAACAGCCUGUAUACCUCCGUCGUCAGCUUACCACGUGAGCGACCCUCAGUAAGCUCAAUGUCUAUUCACCAAUACGUCAGGUCAAGGUGCAGCAAAUAAAAUGGGAAGAGAUGGGCUACACUCUCUACCCUAGAGUAAACGAAAAACUAUUUAUGAAAUCUAGUCAGAAGGAGGAUUUAGCAGUAAAAGGAGACAAGAGAGCCCCUUUUAACAUGGCACUGGGGUGUGUACACACCGCCCGUCACUCUCUUCGAAGCCAACAAAAAGUUCAUAACACACUACAGCCUAAGAGAAGAGACAAGUCGUAACAUGGUAAGCAUACCGGAAGGUGUGCUUGGAAA
RNAcentral lists this non-coding RNA (920 nucleotides) under Phyllodytes brevirostris. RNAcentral describes it as "partial 12S ribosomal RNA". It matches the Rfam family "Bacterial small subunit ribosomal RNA". The record is from RNAcentral. Lineage: Eukaryota; Metazoa; Chordata; Amphibia; Anura; Hylidae.